Triplophysa dalaica is the source of this 1184-nucleotide long non-coding RNA. RefSeq lists it as uncharacterized. The record is from RefSeq and is a predicted model, not a curated record. NCBI's taxonomy places the organism in Eukaryota, Metazoa, Chordata, Actinopteri, Cypriniformes, Nemacheilidae. The transcript has 2 exons.
AAGGGUUUGCGUGUGUGCACCUGCCGCUUCUGUUGUAAAAUUACCACUUCUCAAAAACCGCUCUAGCGCUGUGCAGCUUAUACUAACACAUAUACACUCUCACAUAGAGACAUUUACACCUCUUCAGAUAACAGAAUCUCAACACUGAGAAGAACAAUGAGAACUGCCAAGACAGUGUGUUUUGUGUGCUUUCUUUUAUUCUUUGGAACCGUGCGUGCUCAAAACAACGGGACCUCGACAAACAGUCCAUUGAAAAAUAAAGCAGACACUUCUCAAACUAAAGCGAUUACUUCCAAUGACAAGCCAACAAUAUCACGUGUAACAGAACAACUCAAAACAAAUGGAUCAAAUCAAGGUUGUGUAUGCCCUAAGUUCCCUACCGAAAGCACACAAAGACUAUGCCUUUUGUUUCUGCCUGAAGGGAAUACAUUGAAUCUGGUUUUGGGUGCUCUCGCGUUGGCUUGCUUUAUUUUGCUUCUGACCACGCUGAUGUGUGCCUGCCAGCUUUGCAAAAUGAAAGUAUUGAUCUCUAAGUUCCAGCCUAAUCACAACUACAUAGACCUUCAAGCCAUGAGAAAGAGAAGCGAAUCACCAUCCAGGGACGAAGGACCAGCAGUGAGGGAACCAACCGAGACCUGUGUCAUGUUGUCAGCGGUCACAACACAGGAGGAGGAAAACAAAGAGGAGAGCAUUCAAACCUUUCCCGAGCCGUAUGUGGAAGGUCCAAAUGGAGAGGUUGCUCAGGAGAGCGGGAACAGUUGCAAAGCUGAGAGUAAGGAGCCUGAUGUAGAAGCACCAGAGAGCUCGACCAUAGAGGUGUGAACAACACGCUUGAACAAACUGGUGUCACACAGCUCCCCCUGGUGGCAUUUAAAGUCUUUUGCAGCUUAAGCUUGAUUUACAGCUUUGUGAAUGGUUUGUAGGUCUUAAACACCAGACUCAAGGGGAAGUAAUUCAUGAGAAUGAUUUUAAGACUGCUUAUUAAGUUACGCAAUCUCAGACCAAAAUUCCAGGAAUGAAAAUCUAAAAAUAAGCUUUCAACAUUGUAUUUAGUAUCCACAAAUGUAUUGUGUGACCUUGUUUAAAAUGUGUGCAUUCAUGCUUUUUGUGCUUUUCAUUUUAAAUCUUUUUUUGUGCUUUUUAACAUUUAAAUUUCUGGACAAUAAAAAUGUUGUCUAAGUUUU